Molecule: ribosomal RNA, 434 nt
Filed under: uncultured Lachnospiraceae bacterium
Lineage: Bacteria; Bacillati; Bacillota; Clostridia; Lachnospirales; Lachnospiraceae
Description: bacterial SSU rRNA
Rfam family: Bacterial small subunit ribosomal RNA
Source: RNAcentral
ACGGAAGGCAGCAGUGGGGAAUAUUGCACAAUGGGCGAAAGCCUGAUGCAGCGACGCCGCGUGAACGAAGAAGUAUUUCGGUAUGUAAAGUUCUAUCAGCAGGGAAGAUAAUGACGGUACCUGACUAAGAAGCACCGGCUAAAUACGUGCCAGCAGCCGCGGUAAUACGUAUGGUGCAAGCGUUAUCCGGAUUUACUGGGUGUAAAGGGAGCGCAGGCGGCGCGGCAAGUCUGAAGUGAAAUCCCGGGGCUCAACCCCGGAACUGCUUUGGAAACUGUCGUGCUAGAGUGUCGGAGGGGUAAGCGGAAUUCCUAGUGUAGCGGUGAAAUGCGUAGAUAUUAGGAGGAACACCAGUGGCGAAGGCGGCUUACUGGACGAUAACUGACGCUGAGGCUCGAAAGCGUGGGGAGCGAACAGGAUUAGAUACCCUGGUA